AUGUUGCUAACGGUAACUAGCUUGAUGUACAAAAAAGACGGAAGAAAACGGUAAACUAUUGCUAACGGAGAAAAGGGAGAGAAAAACAUGGUUAAAUUGUACAAAAACGAAUGGUUUUAGCUACAGUCGACAGGGGAACAAGCUCUUACGUUGGUACGUUGUUUGAUACACGGCAAGGAAUAAUAAAGGUCAUUCAACAACCAUCAGUUCUGGCCUUGUCAGUUUGACUGGAUGCUACAGUAAGAGCUUGACCGCUGCCAUUUUGCUACACCACAAGGGCUCAAGGUUUAACGGCAAUUCCCACAACGUCCAGCAGAUGGCAGAAGCAGGUCAGAGAAUAAAACGGUGAAAGACAUAAGGAAAAUAAAGUUGAAAUGGAGGAUUCAGAAGAAGACAUUAAUGAACAGUUUGAAAACAAAGAACAAAUAUUAAAUGAGCUGCAAGAUAAAGCUCAAAGUGACUCCACGGUUCCAAGGCGUUCAGAAAGAGCCAAGGUGCCAACGGAAAAAAUGCUAACUUAUCAGAGGGAAGAGAUAAGUAAAAAAGAAAAAAGACUAUUAACUCUUUAUGAACAAUGGAAAAUACGAGUGCCAGAAACAAGAGAAAGAUUAAAGUUGGACAUUUCAGAGAAAGAAAUGGCAGAUCUUGCAGAUGAUGUAGAGCAAAGAAAAGAUGAACUGCUAAAGUUGUACACUGAAAUGAGAAGUCACAUUGCACCUUCAUCAGACAUACGAAGAAAAACCGAUGCAUGUGAAGCAGUUACUCAUGACAUCGUGAAAGUCAUCCUGGAAAGAAUAAGUGGUGUAGAUGGAGCUUUUGAUGCAGAAUAUGAAAGAAAACGUCUACGGAGACUAUUAGAACAUGAUUAUGCCCAAUCCAUCUAUGGUUCAACUGCAGCAUCGAAACGUAGCCAACUGUCUUCAGCCUCACAUCUUGCUUCAAAACGAGCAGAUGCAGCAGCAGAACUAGCAGCAAAGGAAGCAGAGUACAAGAUUGUACAAGAGGAACAAAGACAGAAGAAAUGGAUAAAGGCUCUAGAAGAGGAGCAUAAGAAACAAAUGGCAGUUCAAACAUCCGAGCUGGAACGCCUGAAAGCCAAAAGGGAGGUGGAAGCCGCUCGCGCCAGGUUGGACGUCUACAACAGAGAGUUAUCACAACUUGAUGAUGCAUAUUCAGUAAAGAUGGAAAAGGUGAACCCAGAGCACACACCCAAACACACUGUACCAUCAUACACCAUACCGGCGCCAACAGCCCCUCCUAGUGUCAGCCAGCUUGCACAGGCGGUACAAGGCAGCAUAAGAAUAAAUAGACUCCCCAUGCCAGAACCAACAAUGUUUAGUGGUGAGCCAAUAAAAUUUAGUGAAUGGAAAUCCACUUUCAUGUCACUUAUUGAACAAACUGGCAUGUCAGCAGCAGAUAAACUGUACUAUCUAAAAAGGUAUGUAACUGGCUCAGCUCGCAAGUGCCUUGAAGGGACUUUCUUCAGAAAUGAUGAAGAAGCAUAUAACGACGCUUGGGCAAAGUUAAACCAAAGGUACGGCCAGCCAUUCGUGCUACAAAGGGC
Long non-coding RNA from Oreochromis aureus, 1564 nucleotides. The record is from Ensembl. Lineage: Eukaryota; Metazoa; Chordata; Actinopteri; Cichliformes; Cichlidae.